AGUGAGAGUAGGAAGCAAAAGCAGGAGCUUCCGUCUCCUCUUCCUUCUCUCUUGCCUCAAAUCUCGUAACACAGAUUCUCUGUCUCUUUCUCUCGCACCAGAGAAAGCAAGUAUUACGGAGCGAUCCUAGGUAGAUUCUUCCCCCAAAUUCGCUACCGGAGACGACGAGCCUGCUCUCUGCUCCGAGCCGACGGUGCUUGCGAUCCUUCCUCGUGACGACGAAACCACUCUCUGUUUUCGCAGGUUCGCUCGGGGUCCCUUACGGCUUCGUCUUGCAUCGCCACCGGCAGCCCAAAGUCACUACCGAGACGAGACGAGCCGAGCCGUGUCACAAAUCGUCGGCCGAAUCACCGCCGCGUGCACCUUGCCGAACCGUCACCGCAGCCAUGCUUUGCCAGUGAGCACCUUACCGGUCAUCCGUCGAGGCGAUUCCGAUGAAGUCCAAAUUUGGCACUUUUAUCCUGUGAAGUUAGUAUACCCCCUAGGAUCUCGGUCUUCAUUGGAUUAUCGGUCAUCUGUGUGUGCUCUGCUGCGGAAGCAUUCCGAAAACCUCACCACACCAAGUUACAACCUUUUUUCUCUUUGAGAGAGACAGGGAGGUCUGGAAGUAAUACACUUCCUAAAUAUGGCCAGAGCAUCAGAAGGUGGGUACGAUGUGUUCCUGAGUUUCAGCGGAAAUGAUACUCGUC
Molecule: long non-coding RNA, 689 nt
Organism: Eucalyptus grandis
Lineage: Eukaryota; Viridiplantae; Streptophyta; Magnoliopsida; Myrtales; Myrtaceae
Exons: 3
Source: RefSeq, a predicted model, not a curated record